CCUACGGGAGGCAGCAGUGAGGAAUAUUGGUCAAUGGACGAGAGUCUGAACCAGCCAAGCAGCGUGAAGGAUGACUGCUCUAUGGGUUGUAAACUUCUUUUAUAAAGGAAUAAAACGAGGUACGUGUGCCUUUUUGCAUGUACUUUAUGAAUAAGGAUCGGCUAACUCCGUGCCAGCAGCCGCGGUAAUACGGAGGAUCCGAGCGUUAUCCGGAUUUAUUGGGUUUAAAGGGAGCGUAGAUGGGUUGUUAAGUCAGUUGUGAAAGUUUGCGGCUCAACCGUAAAAUUGCACUUGAUACUGGCAGUCUUGAGUACAGUUGGGGUAGGCGGAAUUCGUGGUGUAGCGGUGAAAUGCUUAGAGAUCACGAAGAACCCCGAUUGCGAAGGCAGCUUACUAAACUGUGACUGACAUUGAUGCUCGAAAGUGUGGGGAGCAAACAGGAUUAGAUACCCCAGUAGUC
This 460-nucleotide ribosomal RNA is filed under the name uncultured bacterium. Its description in RNAcentral is "partial 16S ribosomal RNA". It matches the Rfam family "Bacterial small subunit ribosomal RNA", at positions 338 to 795 of the family's 1533-position model. The record is from RNAcentral.